UAGCUUAGGUGAGAGAGUGCUUGCCUGGUAUGCAUGAGGCCCUGGGUUUGAUUCCCAG
RNAcentral lists this transfer RNA (58 nucleotides) under Mesocricetus auratus (golden hamster). It matches the Rfam family "tRNA", at positions 8 to 63 of the family's 71-position model. Rfam says of the family: Transfer RNA (tRNA) molecules are approximately 80 nucleotides in length. Their secondary structure includes four short double-helical elements and three loops (D, anti-codon, and T loops). Further hydrogen bonds mediate the characteristic L-shaped molecular structure. tRNAs have two regions of fundamental functional importance: the anti-codon, which is responsible for specific mRNA codon recognition, and the 3' end, to which the tRNAs corresponding amino acid is attached (by aminoacyl-tRNA synthetases). tRNAs cope with the degeneracy of the genetic code in two manners: having more than one tRNA (with a specific anti-codon) for a particular amino acid; and 'wobble' base-pairing, i.e. permitting non-standard base-pairing at the 3rd anti-codon position. The record is from Rfam by way of RNAcentral. Lineage: Eukaryota; Metazoa; Chordata; Mammalia; Rodentia; Cricetidae.